RNAcentral lists this transfer RNA (81 nucleotides) under Bacteroidota bacterium. RNAcentral describes it as "Bacteroidetes bacterium (soil metagenome) tRNA-Leu". It matches the Rfam family "tRNA". From Rfam's summary of the family: Transfer RNA (tRNA) molecules are approximately 80 nucleotides in length. Their secondary structure includes four short double-helical elements and three loops (D, anti-codon, and T loops). The record is from RNAcentral. Lineage: Bacteria; Pseudomonadati; Bacteroidota.
ACCCGGGUGGCGAAAUGGCAGACGUGUACGCUUGAGGGGCGUAUGUCGAAAGACGUAGGGGUUCGACUCCCCUUCCGGGUA